Molecule: non-coding RNA, 29 nt
Filed under: Homo sapiens (human)
Lineage: Eukaryota; Metazoa; Chordata; Mammalia; Primates; Hominidae
Source: RNAcentral
GCCCAACUCAUGCCUCUUGCAACCUGCCC